Molecule: ribosomal RNA, 497 nt
Filed under: uncultured bacterium
Lineage: Bacteria
Description: partial 16S ribosomal RNA
Rfam family: Bacterial small subunit ribosomal RNA
Source: RNAcentral
GAUGAACGCUGGCGGCGUGCCUAAUACAUGCAAGUCGAGCGAACGGACGAGAAGCUUGCUUCUCUGAUGUUAGCGGCGGACGGGUGAGUAACACGUGGAUAACCUACUUAUAAGACUGGGAUAACUUCGGGAAACCGGAGCUAAUACCGGAUAAUAUUUUGAACCGCAUGGUUCAAAAGUGAAAGACGGUCUUGCUGUCACUUAUAGAUGGAUCCGCGCUGCAUUAGCUAGUUGGUAAGGUAACGGCUUACCAAGGCAACGAUGCAUAGCCGACCUGAGAGGGUGAUCGGCCACACUGGAACUGAGACACGGUCCAGACUCCUACGGGAGGCAGCAGUAGGGAAUCUUGCGCAAUGGGCGAAAGCCUGACGGAGCAACGCCGCGUGAGUGAAGAAGGUCUUCGGAUCGUAAAACUCUUUUAUUAGGGAAGAACAUCUGUGUAAGUAACUGUGCACGUCUUGACGGUACCUAAUCAGAAAGCCACGGCUAACUACGUG